RNAcentral lists this ribosomal RNA (483 nucleotides) under uncultured bacterium. RNAcentral's name for it is "partial 16S ribosomal RNA". It matches the Rfam family "Bacterial small subunit ribosomal RNA", at positions 28 to 507 of the family's 1533-position model. The record is from RNAcentral.
GACGAACGCUGGCGGCGUGCUUAACACAUGCAAGUCGAGCGAUGAGACGGGGGCUUGGACUCGCGGAUGAGUGGCGAACGGGCGUGUAACACGUGAGUAACCUGUCCUUUUCUUUGUGGUAACGGCUGGAGACGGCUGCUAAUACUGGAUAUUCAGUCUGCAUCGCAUGGUGUGGUUUGGAAAGGACGUUUCUGCGAUUGCGUGGGGUCGCGGCCUCUCAGCUUGAUGGUGGGGUGAUGGCGUAGCAAGGCUUUGACGGGUAGCCGGAGUGAGCGGGUGCGCGGUCGCUGUGGGACGGACCUACGGCCCAGACGCCGCCGGGAGGCAGCAGCGGGGACUAUUGGAGAAUGGAUGAAAGUUUGACGCAGCGUGGCUGCGUGGAGGCUGUAGGCCUUCGGGUUGUGAACUCCUUGUUCUCGCAAUAAAGGCAUAGCUUUGGACGUGUUGACGGUAGUGGGGGAAGAAGCCCCGGCUAACUACGUG